This 526-nucleotide ribosomal RNA is filed under the name Fusarium solani. Its description in RNAcentral is "eukaryotic LSU rRNA". The stretch from base 140 to 293 matches the Rfam family "5.8S ribosomal RNA". Lineage: Eukaryota; Fungi; Ascomycota; Sordariomycetes; Hypocreales; Nectriaceae. The record is from RNAcentral.
ACACUCAUCACCCUGUGACAUACCUAUAACGUUGCCUCGGCGGGAACAGACGGCCCCGUAACACGGGCCGCCCCCGCCAGAGGACCCCCUAACUCUGUUUCUAUAAUGUUUCUUCUGAGUAAACAAGCAAAUAAAUUAAAACUUUCAACAACGGAUCUCUUGGCUCUGGCAUCGAUGAAGAACGCAGCGAAAUGCGAUAAGUAAUGUGAAUUGCAGAAUUCAGUGAAUCAUCGAAUCUUUGAACGCACAUUGCGCCCGCCAGUAUUCUGGCGGGCAUGCCUGUUCGAGCGUCAUUACAACCCUCAGGCCCCCGGGCCUGGCGUUGGGGAUCGGCGGAAGCCCCCUGCGGGCACAACGCCGUCCCCCAAAUACAGUGGCGGUCCCGCCGCAGCUUCCAUUGCGUAGUAGCUAACACCUCGCAACUGGAGAGCGGCGCGGCCACGCCGUAAAACACACAACUUCUGAAUGUUGACCUCGAAUCAGGUAGGAAUACCCGCUGAACUUAAGCAUAUCAAUAAGCGGAGGA